RNAcentral lists this small RNA (114 nucleotides) under human gut metagenome. Its description in RNAcentral is "drum RNA". It matches the Rfam family "drum RNA". Rfam says of the family: Firmicutes, Bacteroidetes (1 example), Proteobacteria (2 examples), Spirochaetes (2 examples). The record is from RNAcentral.
AGCGCUGAAAUAAGGGAGUGCGCCGGCAUGCAUUGCCUUAUGGAGCUUUCAGGAGGGGUUGUGCAGUGAAACCUCAAACCGGCGUAGGCCAAAAGGCUGAAGGAAAAUGCUCUA